GAUGAACGCUGGCGGCGUGCCUAAUACAUGCAAGUCGAGCGAACAGACGAGGAGCUUGCUCCUCUGACGUUAGCGGCGGACGGGUGAGUAACACGUGGAUAACCUACCUAUAAGACUGGGAUAACUUCGGGAAACCGGAGCUAAUACCGGAUAAUAUAUUGAACCGCAUGGUUCAAUAGUGAAAGACGGUUUUGCUGUCACUUAUAGAUGGAUCCGCGCCGCAUUAGCUAGUUGGUAAGGUAACGGCUUACCAAGGCAACGAUGCGUAGCCGACCUGAGAGGGUGAUCGGCCCCCCGGGACCUAGGAACCGUUCCCACACCCGCGGGGAGGCAGGGGUAGGAAAUCUUCCGGAGGGGGCAAAGGCCUAACGGGGCAACGCGGCGUAAGGUAGAAAGUUCUUCGGAUCGUAAACUUUUUUUUUUGGGGAAGAACAAAUGUUUAAGUACCUUGGCCCUUUUUAACGGUACCUAAUAAAAAGGCCCCGCCAACCUCCGU
RNAcentral lists this ribosomal RNA (496 nucleotides) under uncultured bacterium. RNAcentral's name for it is "partial 16S ribosomal RNA". It matches the Rfam family "Bacterial small subunit ribosomal RNA", at positions 28 to 506 of the family's 1533-position model. The record is from RNAcentral.